CAAUGGAGAGUUUGAUCCUGGCUCAGGAUGAACGCUGGCGGCGUGCCUAAUACAUGCAAGUCGGACGCAAUGCUUCGGCAUUGAGUGGCGAACGGGUGAGU
Molecule: ribosomal RNA, 101 nt
Filed under: Massilimicrobiota sp. An80
Lineage: Bacteria; Bacillati; Bacillota; Erysipelotrichia; Erysipelotrichales; Erysipelotrichaceae
Description: partial 16S ribosomal RNA
Rfam family: Bacterial small subunit ribosomal RNA
Source: RNAcentral